Molecule: long non-coding RNA, 967 nt
Organism: Peromyscus eremicus (cactus mouse)
Lineage: Eukaryota; Metazoa; Chordata; Mammalia; Rodentia; Cricetidae
Exons: 4
Source: RefSeq, a predicted model, not a curated record
GUCUCCUCUCCUUCCUCAUCCUCCUGUUUACAGAUCCAGAUGAAGAACUCUCAGCUCUUCUCCAGCACCAUGUCUGCCUGCAUGCCUCCAUGCUUUCUGACAUGCUGAUAAUGGACUAACCUCUGAACUGCAUUCUUUCAGUGGGAGCCCAGGUCCUGGUUAUAUGUGAACCUCCCUGACCAGAAACUUUUACCAAAGAGCCAUAAAGCUAUGUCACUGAAGUUUCAGCAGAAGCAAUGUGACUCUCAGCUGCCUGGACAAUGAGCUUGAAACGGACUGCUGUUGAGGUGUCGGAACACAACGAACGGCUGGUUACAAAGAGGCAAUUGUUAGAGAAAUGGUUUAAUACAUUGCAAAUCCCUCCAUCUCCAUCCCUUCAAAAGGGAAUAAAGACCAAAAACAGAUCACACACAAAUUUACAUUAUAAAAUUGCUGUCAUCGUUCUCUGCCGGAUUAACCCAGGCUUAGGAGCCUCUGCUCAGCAAUCGCACUCCGGGUUCUUCCCUUUGGCAGAGCAGACGGUGUGGCCCAAGUGACUUUGGGGAUGAGAUGGUGGUUUUUCACUUCCUAUAGAAAAUUAGAAAAAUAGUGUUUGUCCAUUGUGAAGAAGUAUCUCCUGUGCUGGCACGAUGGCUUAGCAGGAAAGGCACCUGCCACCAAGGUGAUGACUUGAGUUUGGACCCAUAUGGUAGAAGGAAAGAACCGACUCCUGAAAGUUGUUCUCUGCUUUCCACAUGCGUGCUAUGCAUGCAUGCCCCUCCCUGUCACAUACAAAGUAAGUAAAAAUGUAAAAGUAAAAACAUUUUCUGAAAGUGCCUCUCGAGGCUGGAGAGAUGGCUUAAAGAUUAAGAACACCGGCUGCUCGUCCAGAGGACCCAAGCUUGUUUCCCAGCCCCGCGCCAGGCAGUCCAUAACUACCUGUAACUUUCAACUCCAGGAGGAUCCAAUACCUCAGGUCUCUGAGGGC